CCUACGGGGGGCAGCAGUGGGGAAUAUUGGGCAAUGGGCGCAAGCCUGACCCAGCAACGCCGCGUGAAGGAAGAAGGCUUUCGGGUUGUAAACUUCUUUUCUCAGGGACGAAGCAAGUGACGGUACCUGAGGAAUAAGCCACGGCUAACUACGUGCCAGCAGCCGCGGUAAUACGUAGGUGGCAAGCGUUAUCCGGAUUUACUGGGUGUAAAGGGCGUGUAGGCGGGACUGCAAGGCAGAUGUGAAAACCACGGGCUCAACCUGUGGCCUGCAUUUGAAACUGUAGUUCUUGAGUACUGGGGAGGCAGACGGAAUUCCUAGUGUAGCGGUGGAAUGCGUAGAUAUUAGGAGGAACACCAGUGGCGAAGGCGGUCUGCUGGACAGCAACUGACGCUGAGGCGCGAAAGCGUGGGGAGUAAACAGGAUUAGAUACCCUGGUAGUC
Molecule: ribosomal RNA, 443 nt
Filed under: uncultured bacterium
Lineage: Bacteria
Description: partial 16S ribosomal RNA
Rfam family: Bacterial small subunit ribosomal RNA
Source: RNAcentral